GAUGAACGCUGGCGGCGUGCCUAAUACAUGCAAGUCGAGCAAACAGAUGAGGAGCUUGCUCCUCUGACGUUAGCGGCGGACGGGUGAGUAACACGUGGAUAACCUACCUAUAAGACUGGGAUUACUUCGGGAAACCGGAGCUAAUACCGGAUAAUAUAUUGAACCGCAUGGUUCAAUAGUGAAAGACGGUUUUGCUGUCACUUAUAGAUGGAUCCGCGCCGCAUUAGCUAGUUGGUAAGGUAACGGCUUACCAAGGCAACGAUGCGUAGCCGACCUGAGAGGGUGAUCGGCCACACUGGAACUGAGACACGGUCCAGACUCCUACGGGAGGCAGCAGUAGGGAAUCUUCCGCAAUGGGCGAAAGCCUGACGGAGCAACGCCGCGUGAGUGAUGAAGGUCUUCGGAUCGUAAAACUCUGUUAUUAGGGAAGAACAAAUGUGUAAGUAACUAUGCACGUCUUGACGGUACCUAAUCAGAAAGCCACGGCUAACUACGUG
RNAcentral lists this ribosomal RNA (497 nucleotides) under uncultured bacterium. Its description in RNAcentral is "partial 16S ribosomal RNA". It matches the Rfam family "Bacterial small subunit ribosomal RNA", at positions 28 to 507 of the family's 1533-position model. The record is from RNAcentral.